Eptesicus fuscus (big brown bat) is the source of this 382-nucleotide long non-coding RNA. RefSeq lists it as uncharacterized. The transcript is spliced from 4 exons. The record is from RefSeq and is a predicted model, not a curated record. NCBI's taxonomy places the organism in Eukaryota, Metazoa, Chordata, Mammalia, Chiroptera, Vespertilionidae.
AGAGCAGGAAGACCAGAGGGCUUUGUCCAGCCUCUGGAUGCCCCAAGGAGCCGAGAUACUCGUGGGUGUGCUGGGCACCAUGCUCCUUCCUUAUUGGCACUUCUUUUGCCAGAAGAAUCCUGGGCAGGAUUGACUGUGGGUCUUAGACCCAGAAUCUUAGCAUUGGAAGGAACAGAUGGAAACUGCUGUCAUUCAUCAAUUCAGGAAGGUCUGAGUGUGAGGCUAACACUGAGACUAUGAUGUUUUGUCAGGGGGGACAUGAGAUGCUACUGUGUGACAGUGCCAAGCACAAUGAGGAUGCUUCAGAAAGGAGGCUGAAUCAGAAGGUCUGAAUCCAAUUAUCAGCAAAAGGCAGCCUGAGCUCACCUUCUAACAUCUCCCC